This 334-nucleotide long non-coding RNA is filed under the name Solanum tuberosum (potato). Its description in RNAcentral is "long non-coding RNA (STUB_LNC009036)". The record is from RNAcentral. Lineage: Eukaryota; Viridiplantae; Streptophyta; Magnoliopsida; Solanales; Solanaceae.
CAGAGUAUGCUUACAUAUUCCUCUGGGAUGAAGAUCUUGGAGUCGAAAAUUUCCAUGCUGGACGGUAAUUAUAGGGCUAAAAAGAUAUAUCUUCAUACUAAGAGCCAUUGAUGUCAACCAGAAAAAUAAUCUCCACCUGCAGAUAUUUAUCAAUAAUAAAAGAAGAAGGUCUUCAGAUAUCACAACCAGCAAUCGAUGCAGAUAUUUCAGAAAUUCACCACAAACUUACAGCACGAGAAGAGGGAUCAAGAGUGCACAGGUAUUAUUACUUUCAUGAUCAGUGACUGGUUUAUCAGUAAUAAGUUGGAUCUUCUUGAAAGGAUGUACUCUUAUG